GGUAGGGUUAGGGUUAGGGUUAGGACAUGGGAAGUGGGUGAGACUCGGUGCCGCGAAGCGGUGCCGAGUCUCCAUGCACGGGCCAUCCUGCUCCGGCCCGGAUCCUUUGGGCGGUGCUCCAGCCCGGAUCACACUGGAUGACCGUGGCCCGAACUGACGACCAUCCAUGGGCAACAAAAUGGCUGACGAGAGGUGUCACAAUAAAUUAGAUAGACACAAUU
Molecule: long non-coding RNA, 221 nt
Organism: Larimichthys crocea (large yellow croaker)
Lineage: Eukaryota; Metazoa; Chordata; Actinopteri; Sciaenidae
Exons: 4
Source: RefSeq, a predicted model, not a curated record